This 64-nucleotide ribosomal RNA is filed under the name uncultured bacterium. Its description in RNAcentral is "partial 16S ribosomal RNA". The record is from RNAcentral.
UGGACUUGACAUCCUAUAAAUGAUUUAGAGACAAAUCAGUGCUAGAGGACUAGAAUAUAGUGAC